GUAGGUGAACCUGCGGAAGGAUCAUUAUUGAAUGAACUUGGUGUGGUUGUUGCUGGCCUUCUUUGGGGGCAUGUGCACACCCACCAUCCUCAUCUCUCCACCUGUGCACAUCUUGUAGAUUUGGAUUGACUUUCCGAGGCAACUCGGUCGGGAGGACUGCUGGCGCUAGCUAGCUUUCCUUGCAUUCCCAAGUCUAUGUUUUUCAUAUAUCCCAUUGUAUGUAACAGAAUGUAACACUAGGCCUUUGUGC
Molecule: unclassified non-coding RNA, 250 nt
Filed under: plant metagenome
Description: partial contains small subunit ribosomal RNA, internal transcribed spacer 1, and 5.8S ribosomal RNA
Source: RNAcentral